AUUUAACUGAUGAGUCCCAAAUAGGACGAAACACGUGUCUUGGAU
RNAcentral lists this non-coding RNA (45 nucleotides) under Schistosoma bovis. RNAcentral also lists the same sequence under 1 other name. Lineage: Eukaryota; Metazoa; Platyhelminthes; Trematoda; Strigeidida; Schistosomatidae. The record is from RNAcentral.